RNAcentral lists this ribosomal RNA (664 nucleotides) under uncultured archaeon. Its description in RNAcentral is "bacterial SSU rRNA". It matches the Rfam family "Archaeal small subunit ribosomal RNA", at positions 691 to 1353 of the family's 1478-position model. The record is from RNAcentral.
CCGACGGUGAGGGAUGAAAGCUGGGGGAGCAAACCGGAUUAGAUACCCGGGUAGUCCCAGCUGUAAACUAUGCAAACUCAGUGAUGCAUUGGCUUGUGGCCAAUGCAGUGCUGCAGGGAAGCCGUUAAGUUUGCCGCCUGGGAAGUACGUACGCAAGUAUGAAACUUAAAGGAAUUGGCGGGGGAGCACCACAAGGGGUGAAGCCUGCGGUUCAAUUGGAGUCAACGCCAGAAAUCUUACCCGGAGAGACAGCAGAAUGAAGGUCAAGCUGAAGACUUUACCAGACAAGCUGAGAGGUGGUGCAUGGCCGUCGCCAGCUCGUGCCGUGAGAUGUCCUGUUAAGUCAGGUAACGAGCGAGAUCCCUGCCUCUAGUUGCCACCAUUACUCUCAGGAGUAGUGGGGCGAAUUAGCGGGACCGCCGCAGUUAAUGCGGAGGAAGGAAGGGGCCACGGCAGGUCAGUAUGCCCCGAAACUCUGGGGCCACACGCGGGCUGCAAUGGUAGCGACAAUUGGUUUCGAAUCCGAAAGGAUGAGGUAAUCCACAAACGCUACCACAGUUAUGACUGAGGGCUGCAACUCGCCCUCACGAAUAUGGAAUCCCUAGUAACUGCGUGUCAUUAUCGCGCGGUGAAUACGUCCCUGCUCCUUGCACUCACCGCCCGU